GGGAGGCCGGGAGGGGUCCCUGGGCGGGGAGUUGCUGCGCAUCUGUUGUGUGUGUGCGUCUGUCUGUCUGUUCAGGUCUGUUUUAGGCUGUGUCUGCCUGUCUCUCUGUCUGGGUCUCUUUCAGGCUGCGUCGGUCUGUCUGUCUGGGUCUGUUUCAGGCUGUGUCUGUCUGUCUGUCUGGGUCUGUUUCAGGCUGUGUCUGUCUGUCUGUCCGGGUCUGUUUCAGGCUGUGUCUGGGUCUGUUUCAGGCUGUGUCUGUCUGUCUGUCCGGGUCUGUUUCAGGCUGUGUCUGUCUGUCUGUCCGGGUCUGUUUCAGGCUGUGUCUGUCUGUCUGUCCGGGUCUGUUUCAGGCUGUGUCUGUCUGUCUGUUUGUCUGGGUCUGUUUCAGGCUGUGUCUGUCUGUCCGGGUCUGUUUCAGGCUGUAUGUGUGUCUGCUCUUUGCUUCUGCUCCUGGCUCUGUGUGUAUUUCCCGGGUCCUG
RNAcentral lists this long non-coding RNA (479 nucleotides) under Homo sapiens (human). Its description in RNAcentral is "HSALNT0395744". Lineage: Eukaryota; Metazoa; Chordata; Mammalia; Primates; Hominidae. The record is from RNAcentral.